This 2926-nucleotide ribosomal RNA is filed under the name Salmonella enterica subsp. enterica serovar Heidelberg str. SARA35. RNAcentral's name for it is "bacterial LSU rRNA". It matches the Rfam family "Bacterial large subunit ribosomal RNA". The record is from RNAcentral. Lineage: Bacteria; Pseudomonadati; Pseudomonadota; Gammaproteobacteria; Enterobacterales; Enterobacteriaceae.
GGGUUGUGAGGUUAAGCGACUAAGCGUACACGGUGGAUGCCCUGGCAGUCAGAGGCGAUGAAGGGCGUGCUAAUCUGCGAUAAGCGCCGGUAAGGUGAUAUGAACCGUUAUAACCGGCGAUACCCGAAUGGGGAAACCCAGUGUGACUCGUCACACUAUCAUUAACUGAAUCCAUAGGUUAAUGAGGCGAACCGGGGGAACUGAAACAUCUAAGUACCCCGAGGAAAAGAAAUCAACCGAGAUUCCCCAGUAGCGGCGAGCGAACGGGGAGGAGCCCAGAGCCUGAAUCAGCAUGUGUGUUAGUGGAAGCGUCUGGAAAGGCGCGCGAUACAGGGUGACAGCCCCGUACACAAAAGCGCAUGUGCUGUGAGCUCGAUGAGUAGGGCGGGACACGUGGUAUCCUGUCUGAAUAUGGGGGGACCAUCCUCCAAGGCUAAAUACUCCUGACUGACCGAUAGUGAACCAGUACCGUGAGGGAAAGGCGAAAAGAACCCCGGCGAGGGGAGUGAAAAAGAACCUGAAACCGUGUACGUACAAGCAGUGGGAGCACCCUUUGGGGUGUGACUGCGUACCUUUUGUAUAAUGGGUCAGCGACUUAUAUUCUGUAGCAAGGUUAACCGUAUAGGGGAGCCGUAGGGAAACCGAGUCUUAACCGGGCGUUAAGUUGCAGGGUAUAGACCCGAAACCCGGUGAUCUAGCCAUGGGCAGGUUGAAGGUUGGGUAACACUAACUGGAGGACCGAACCGACUAAUGUUGAAAAAUUAGCGGAUGACCUGUGGCUGGGGGUGAAAGGCCAAUCAAACCGGGAGAUAGCUGGUUCUCCCCGAAAGCUAUUUAGGUAGCGCCUCGUGAAUUCAUCUCCGGGGGUAGAGCACUGUUUCGGCUAGGGGGCCAUCCCGGCUUACCAACCCGAUGCAAACUGCGAAUACCGGAGAAUGUUAUCACGGGAGACACACGGCGGGUGCUAACGUCCGUCGUGAAGAGGGAAACAACCCAGACCGCCAGCUAAGGUCCCAAAGUCAUGGUUAAGUGGGAAACGAUGUGGGAAGGCCCAGACAGCCAGGAUGUUGGCUUAGAAGCAGCCAUCAUUUAAAGAAAGCGUAAUAGCUCACUGGUCGAGUCGGCCUGCGCGGAAGAUGUAACGGGGCUAAACCAUGCACCGAAGCUGCGGCAGCGACGCUGAUGCGUUGUUGGGUAGGGGAGCGUUCUGUAAGCCUGCGAAGGUGACCUGUGAGGGUUGCUGGAGGUAUCAGAAGUGCGAAUGCUGACAUAAGUAACGAUAAAGCGGGUGAAAAGCCCGCUCGCCGGAAGACCAAGGGUUCCUGUCCAACGUUAAUCGGGGCAGGGUGAGUCGACCCCUAAGGCGAGGCCGAAAGGCGUAGUCGAUGGGAAACGGGUUAAUAUUCCCGUACUUGGUGUUACUGCGAAGGGGGGACGGAGAAGGCUAUGUUGGCCGGGCGACGGUUGUCCCGGUUUAAGCGUGUAGGUGUGUGUUCCAGGUAAAUCCGGUUCACUUUAACACUGAGGCGUGAUGACGAGGCACUACGGUGCUGAAGCAACAAAUGCCCUGCUUCCAGGAAAAGCCUCUAAGCAUCAGGUAACAUCAAAUCGUACCCCAAACCGACACAGGUGGUCAGGUAGAGAAUACCAAGGCGCUUGAGAGAACUCGGGUGAAGGAACUAGGCAAAAUGGUGCCGUAACUUCGGGAGAAGGCACGCUGACACGUAGGUGAAGUGAUUUACUCACGGAGCUGAAGUCAGUCGAAGAUACCAGCUGGCUGCAACUGUUUAUUAAAAACACAGCACUGUGCAAACACGAAAGUGGACGUAUACGGUGUGACGCCUGCCCGGUGCCGGAAGGUUAAUUGAUGGGGUCAGCGCAAGCGAAGCUCCUGAUCGAAGCCCCGGUAAACGGCGGCCGUAACUAUAACGGUCCUAAGGUAGCGAAAUUCCUUGUCGGGUAAGUUCCGACCUGCACGAAUGGCGUAAUGAUGGCCAGGCUGUCUCCACCCGAGACUCAGUGAAAUUGAACUCGCUGUGAAGAUGCAGUGUACCCGCGGCAAGACGGAAAGACCCCGUGAACCUUUACUAUAGCUUGACACUGAACAUUGAGCCUUGAUGUGUAGGAUAGGUGGGAGGCUUUGAAGUGUGGACGCCAGUCUGCAUGGAGCCGACCUUGAAAUACCACCCUUUAAUGUUUGAUGUUCUAACGUGGACCCGUUACCCGGGUUGCGGACAGUGUCUGGUGGGUAGUUUGACUGGGGCGGUCUCCUCCUAAAGAGUAACGGAGGAGCACGAAGGUUGGCUAAUCCUGGUCGGACAUCAGGAGGUUAGUGCAAUGGCAUAAGCCAGCUUGACUGCGAGCGUGACGGCGCGAGCAGGUGCGAAAGCAGGUCAUAGUGAUCCGGUGGUUCUGAAUGGAAGGGCCAUCGCUCAACGGAUAAAAGGUACUCCGGGGAUAACAGGCUGAUACCGCCCAAGAGUUCAUAUCGACGGCGGUGUUUGGCACCUCGAUGUCGGCUCAUCACAUCCUGGGGCUGAAGUAGGUCCCAAGGGUAUGGCUGUUCGCCAUUUAAAGUGGUACGCGAGCUGGGUUUAGAACGUCGUGAGACAGUUCGGUCCCUAUCUGCCGUGGGCGCUGGAGAACUGAGGGGGGCUGCUCCUAGUACGAGAGGACCGGAGUGGACGCAUCACUGGUGUUCGGGUUGUCAUGCCAAUGGCACUGCCCGGUAGCUAAAUGCGGAAGAGAUAAGUGCUGAAAGCAUCUAAGCACGAAACUUGCCCCGAGAUGAGUUCUCCCUGAGACUUAAAGUCUCCUGAAGGAACGUUGAAGACGACGACGUUGAUAGGCCGGGUGUGUAAGCGCAGCGAUGCGUUGAGCUAACCGGUACUAAUGAACCGUGAGGCUUAACCUUACAACGCCGAAG